Molecule: ribosomal RNA, 328 nt
Filed under: uncultured eukaryote
Lineage: Eukaryota
Description: partial 18S ribosomal RNA
Rfam family: Eukaryotic small subunit ribosomal RNA
Source: RNAcentral
CCCUUAGAUGUCCUGGGCCGCACGCGCGUUACACUGGUGCAUUCAACGAGCUUAUAACCUUGGCCGAGAGGCCUGGGCAAUCUUGUUAACGUGCAUCGUGAUUGGGAUAGAUUAUUGAAAUUAUUAAUCUUGAACGAGGAAUUCCUAGUAAACGCAGAUCAUCAAUCUGCAUUGAUUACGUCCCUGCCCUUUGUACACACCGCCCGUCGCACCUACCGAUUGGAUGGUCCGGUGAAGCCUCGGGAUUGUGGUUCUUGCCGCUUUAUUGUGGCGUGACCGCGAGAACUUGUCUAAACCUUAUCAUCUAGAGGAAGGUGAAGUCGUAACA